Molecule: ribosomal RNA, 485 nt
Filed under: uncultured bacterium
Lineage: Bacteria
Description: bacterial SSU rRNA
Rfam family: Bacterial small subunit ribosomal RNA
Source: RNAcentral
GAGUUUGAUCAUGGCUCAGAAUGAACGUUGGCGGCGUGGAUUAGGCAUGCGAGUCGUGCGAGAACCGUAGCAAUACGGGGACAGCGGCGAAAGGGAGAGGAACACGUGGAUACCUACCCUCAGGUUCAGGAUAGCUAUGGGAAACUAUAGGUAAUACUGAAUAAUAUCUCCGGAUCAAAGGUGUGAUUCCGCCGGAGGAGGGGUCCGCGUCCUAUUAGCUAGUUGGUGAGGUAAUGGCUCACCAAGGCGAAGAUGGGUACGGGAUGUGAGAACAUGAUCCCGCUCAUUGGGACUGAGACACUGCCCAGACACCUACGGGUGGCUGCAGUCGAGAAUCUUCGGCAAUGGGGGAAACCCUGACCGAGCGACGCCGCGUGUGAGAUGAAGGCCUUCGGGUUGUAAAUCACUGUCGUAGAGGAGGAAGUGUAGGUGGGUUCUCCCACUUAUUUGACCUAUUCUAGGAGGAAGGACGGGCUAAGUUCGUG